Molecule: ribosomal RNA, 482 nt
Filed under: uncultured bacterium
Lineage: Bacteria
Description: partial 16S ribosomal RNA
Rfam family: Bacterial small subunit ribosomal RNA
Source: RNAcentral
AUUGAACGCUGGCGGCAUGCCUUACACAUGCAAGUCGAACGGUAACGGGCCUUCGGGUGCCGACGAGUGGCGAACGGGUGAGUAAUACAUCGGAACGUGCCCGAUCGUGGGGGAUAACGAGGCGAAAGCUUUGCUAAUACCGCAUACGAUCUACGGAUGAAAGCAGGGGACCGCAAGGCCUUGCGCGGACGGAGCGGCCGAUGGCAGAUUAGGUAGUUGGUGGGAUAAAAGCUUACCAAGCCGACGAUCUGGAGCUGGUCUGAGAGGAUGAUCAGCCACACUGGGACUGAGACACGGCCCAGACUCCUACGGGAGGCAGCAGUGGGGAAUUUUGGACAAUGGGCGCAAGCCUGAUCCAGCCAUGCCGCGUGCAGGAUGAAGGCCUUCGGGUUGUAAACUGCUUUUGUACGGAACGAAAAGCCUUCUUUUAAUACAGGAGGGUCAUGACGGUACCGUAAGAAUAAGCACCGGCUAACUACGUG